Molecule: ribosomal RNA, 484 nt
Filed under: uncultured bacterium
Lineage: Bacteria
Description: partial 16S ribosomal RNA
Rfam family: Bacterial small subunit ribosomal RNA
Source: RNAcentral
AGUGAACGCUGGCGGCGUGCUUAACACAUGCAAGUCGAACGAGAACGGAUUAUAGCUUGCUAUAAUUGUCAGCUAAGUGGCGCACGGGUGAGUAAUGUAUAGGUAAUAUGCCUCUUACUAAGGGAUAACAAAUGGAAACGUUUGCUAAUACCUUAUACUCCUUAUUAACAUAAGUUAAUAAGGGAAAGAUUUAUUGGUAAGAGAUUAGCCUGUAUUGUAUCAGUUAGUUGGUGGGGUAAUGGCUUACCAAGACUAUGACACAUAACUGGUUUGAGAGGAUGAUCAGUCACACUGGAGCUGAGACACGGUCCAGACUCCUACGGGAGGCAGCAGUGGGGAAUAUUACACAAUGGACGAAAGUCUGAUGCAGCAACGCCGCGUGGAGGAUGACACAUUUCAGUGCGUAAACUCCUUUUAUAUGGGAAGGUAAUGACGGUAUUAUAUGAAUAAGCACCGGCUAACUCCGUGCCAGCCGCCGCGGUAA